GAGUGAACGCUGGCGGUAGGCCUAACACAUGCAAGUCGAACGGCAGCACAGUAAGAGCUUGCUCUUACGGGUGGCGAGUGGCGGACGGGUGAGGAAUACAUCGGAAUCUACUUUUUCGUGGGGGAUAACGUAGGGAAACUUACGCUAAUACCGCAUACGACCUACGGGUGAAAGCAGGGGAUCUUCGGACCUUGCGCGAUUGAAUGAGCCGAUGUCGGAUUAGCUAGUUGGCGGGGUAAAGGCCCACCAAGGCGACGAUCCGUAGCUGGUCUGAGAGGAUGAGCAGCCACACUGGAACUGAGACACGGUCCAGACUCCUACGGGAGGCAGCAGUGGGGAAUAUUGGACAAUGGGCGCAAGCCUGAUCCAGCCAUACCGCGUGGGUGAAGAAGGCCUUCGGGUUGUAAAGCCCUUUUGUUGGGAAAGAAAAGCAGCAGGUUAAUACCCCGCUGUUCUGACGGUACCCAAAGAAUAAGCACCGGCUAACUUCGUG
Molecule: ribosomal RNA, 493 nt
Filed under: uncultured bacterium
Lineage: Bacteria
Description: partial 16S ribosomal RNA
Rfam family: Bacterial small subunit ribosomal RNA
Source: RNAcentral